This 250-nucleotide ribosomal RNA is filed under the name uncultured bacterium. RNAcentral describes it as "partial 16S ribosomal RNA". It matches the Rfam family "Bacterial small subunit ribosomal RNA", at positions 524 to 771 of the family's 1533-position model. The record is from RNAcentral.
UACGGAGGGUGCAAGCGUUGCUCGGAAUUACUGGGCGUAAAGCGGGCGCAGGCGGUCUGUGCAAGUCGGGUGUGAAAGCCCGGGGCUCAACCCCCGGAACUGCAUCCGAAACUGCCAGACUUGAGUCAAGGAGAGGGUGGCGGAAUUCCUGGUGUAGAGGUGAAAUUCGUAGAUAUCAGGAGGAACAUCCGUGGCGAAGGCGGCCACCUGGCCUUGUACUGACGCUCAUGCCCGAAAGCGUGGGGAGCAA